CAUUUUUGAGGCGCGAUGAGGAAACAUUACAGCAGCUUUGGAAUGAAGCUAAAGAGAGGAUUCGUUUAUAUGAUGCAUUGAACAACAUACCAGAGUAUUGAAACGUAAGAGAAAAGGAAGCCUUCCUCUAAUAUAUGGAUAUUGAGUGAACGUUAUGAAAUGGCAUUGGACUCCACUGGAAAGAUAAUAUUUGAAGACCUGCUGGAACUAGUAGUUAAGAAAAUGCAGUAGUCCAGUGGCAUGUUGCUCACUAUUAAUACAGGUAAGCUCUGUUAGGUCAGAGGCUGCUUUCAGACCUAUUCCCUGAUCCCAGAAUGGA
Molecule: long non-coding RNA, 319 nt
Filed under: Struthio camelus australis
Lineage: Eukaryota; Metazoa; Chordata; Aves; Struthioniformes; Struthionidae
Description: lncRNA (ENSSCUG00000009388.1)
Source: RNAcentral